This is a long non-coding RNA of Phyllostomus hastatus (greater spear-nosed bat), 1246 nucleotides long. RefSeq lists it as uncharacterized. The record is from RefSeq and is a predicted model, not a curated record. Lineage: Eukaryota; Metazoa; Chordata; Mammalia; Chiroptera; Phyllostomidae. The transcript has 3 exons.
CUUUUCCACUUGUUCACAGGCAGCUCCUGGGGCAGCACUGAUGUAUGCCUGGAAACAUGACAGCCGCCAAAGAGGUAGAGAAAAGGAGUGUGGGCACCAAGGAAGAAAAUAGCCAGCAAUGAAAAAAUGUCUUCAGGUGAGGAUAAAGAAGAAAAGAAAAUGCCAAGUGUUGGGAAUUCAACCUCAGGCCUGAGGGUAAAACUCUUUCCGCCAGCAAGACUGUCCUUCCUGAAAAGAAUGAUUACUUCCAGUGGAAUGUCUGUGCAAUAGAGUCGUCAUGGUGUUUCCCAAGCAAUGAUGGUGCUUGGAAGUCAGGAAAGAAAAGAAGGAAGAAGAAAAUGAAAGGAUUGGUUCAGUGAGAGUGAGGAAGCCACCAAGAACAGACAGAAGUGUGAAAAGCCCUAAGGAAACAACAUCCUACUUUCCACGCACCUGCCUGAGAGGUGCGUGCCUCCAAAAACAGCUCCACCAACCUGGGCCAAGGCUUCUUCAGCAGAUCCUUUGGGAAAACCCGAAGGAAGGUCCUCCUCUCAGAGCCCAGGAUCCCACCCGCAUCACAGGAUCCAGGAAGUAGCAUGGACUGUCCCUGGCAGUGGAAGGAUAAGCCCCAGAUUGCCCCCUUUCUGGUCUGGGGCUCCUCCUCCUGCGUUGGGGGGCAGUGGCAUCCAGCACAUACUAUGCCAAGGCCAUCCUGUCCAACCUUGGCUAUGCUGCGGGAGCCUGCUGGUAGUGUCAUCUUCCAGGUCCCUGCACCUGCCCUCUGGCUGUCCUUGAGCCUUUGUGGGGCUGACAUGCAGGAGAAUGGGUGUGGGGAGCGUGCCUAUAUGGCGGGGGGUGCCUGCGUGCCUGCCUCCUUUUCCACUCCUUACCCCAAGUUUUGUCUCAAACCCUCUUCUUAUCUAGUAUCCAUCCCCAGUCCCUGGGCCCCCGCAGAUCCCCAUGCAGCUGCCUAGGGAGGCCCGAGGCUCAUGACAGUCCUCGUGAGCAGGAUGGACCUCGGAGGAGCCAUGGCCUGAGCAGGCGUAAGGGGCCUUGUGUAGCUUCUAGGAGGCUUACAUAAACACUGGCUGGGACAGAGAGGAAAGGGGGGGUGCGAUGGGCUGCCCGGGGAAAAAAAGCAACCCCAGCCCUGCCAGCUCAGCCUGCAUGGAAAGAAGAAACAAGGCUCAUUUUCCCUCCUCUCAUCCCUUUCCCCUGGUCUGCAGCUGUUAGUUGUUGGGCUGGAAAGACUGCGGUAUCUUGGGGG